AAGUCGUAACAAGGUUUCCGUAGGUGAACCUGCGGAAGGAUCAUUAAUACGUAUCCACGUAUCAACCGAAUUGUGAACUCUGUUUUCCGCCUUGCGAUGAGAGUAUUUGCGGUCAGUUAACCCUUUUCUUUUGGGAGGGGGUUUUGAUGAUGUGCAACUGACCGGUCCUAGUUUGAGUGGGAAUUCUCCGAAAGGGGAUUGUUACUCAGAUUAGCUCAUCACAAGUGUGGCUCAAAAUCUUGACACGUCAUCAUUUUCUAACUUUUAACCCAUGUACAACAUUCUGAACUGAAAAACGUUUCUUUGCGCACUUCAAACCUGUGCAAAGUACAAAAUCCGAAAUUAUGAAACAACUCUUAACAACGGAUAUCUUGGUUCUC
Molecule: unclassified non-coding RNA, 380 nt
Filed under: fungal sp.
Lineage: Eukaryota; Fungi
Description: partial internal transcribed spacer region
Rfam family: Eukaryotic small subunit ribosomal RNA (bases 1-46)
Source: RNAcentral